UCUGUGUGCCAGAUAGUAAGAGGAGGAAGACAAGGAAAAUGACUACUACUUCUACUUAUUAAACAUCCGCUCCGAGCAAACACAUUUGGUGGUUUCACUACAGUGUGGAGCCUCUUUCGUCCCCACUGUAGGAAAAUGCAGUGCACUAUCUUGUGUUCCUUCCUAGAAGUUGAGGCCAAGCCAAGCCAGAUGGCAGCUCUAAGUUCCUUUUGUACUAAGCCUCUCCACUCUGACUGUCUGAGUGCUGGGCAUGAGCUACCCACCUCGCCUUCAUUGUUUACUGAAAAGUAGUUCAUGUCAGCCACGUCUUCCAGCUUUACAAAAUUGCAAGCCACUGGAGUCCCAACAUGACCUAAAACAGACCAGAUAUUCUGAGCUAAGCAACCAUAGAGCAAGGGUGUUUCGAAGAUGUUUAUGGGAUUGACUGGAAGCAUGGGAACAGGACUUGAGUUUGUCAUUCAUCAUAUUUAUCCAUAACACCAAAAUUAUCUAAACCCCAGACCAGGGUUCAGUUAGAAGCCUUCUCCCAACCAACAGCUAGAAAACUCACCUGCUGUCCAGUCGCCGGGUGAUGUAAUUGUACAUCCAGCUGUGCAUUCUGUUUGGCCAUAAGCUUCAAACACCUGGGAAACCAAAGAAGAGCUUUGAGGCUUAAGGUAAGUGUGACUGCCUGUGCCGUCUGCAGGAAAAUGGGAAAUAGCAACAAGAGCUGGAGAUGGUUUGGGGACAUCUUGAAAGCAUGUUCAGCUGCUUACUCUUCACAACUGGGAGCUCAUUACAAAACAAAAUAAUUCAGAAACAGAGUAUAGAAACCUACAUGAAAACUGUAGGUGAGGAAUGCAAAUCAUCCAGUAGGUGAUAGACAGCCAGUGGCCAUUAGCCUUAGCCUGGGCAGUAGGUGAUAGACAGCCAGUGGCCAUUAGACUUAGCCUGGGCAGCAGAGCAACUCUGAAGGUCAUGGGAAACACGGUAGCAUGCUUCUUGAGGAAAGAGCUCUAGCUUUGAUAAAGACCAAGGGUUGGCAAACUUUCUGCACAGGGCAAGACUGAAGAUUCUGUGCUUUGUGAGACAUCUGCUCUCUGCCUCAACCACCUAACCCUACCAAUGUGGCAUAAAAGCUGCCACAGACCUUGUAGAAAUGAACGGGGUCAGCUGAGUUCUGUACCUUUUCAACUCUACAGGAGUAGUUGGGGUAGCAGUGGGGUAGUGCUAUAAUUGCCAGCCCUCACAGAGAAGAUAAUCUUGACCAAAGAAAGGCUGGUGGCUGGAAGCAAGUUGAUAGGGCCACUGCAGUCAGAGGUGUGGCCUGCAGUUGGCAGGGUUGGUAGAAAUAGAGAGAUGCUGACAGGAGAUAUUGCAGGGAAGGGGUUGGAAGCAGGACUUUAUAUUAGUCUUUGGGGCUGAAGGAAAGAAAGGUACUAAAAAUGGCCAAGAGGAUGGCAGUUUGAAACCCUAAAGCCCCAUCACUGACUGGUACCAGACUGGUACCAGAACGUUGUCUGUAAAGUGCGCAGAUAGCAUUGAUGUAAACACGAAGUCUUACCCAGCACCCCAUUGCAGCCCGGAAGAAUGUCAGGACUGGAGUGGAAAUGGGGGCGGCUCCAGUGAUCAUGAUGCGAACAUUCCCGCCCAGGCCAUU
This is a non-coding RNA of Myodes glareolus (Bank vole), 1639 nucleotides long. The record is from RefSeq and is a predicted model, not a curated record. NCBI's taxonomy places the organism in Eukaryota, Metazoa, Chordata, Mammalia, Rodentia, Cricetidae.